Molecule: ribosomal RNA, 484 nt
Filed under: uncultured bacterium
Lineage: Bacteria
Description: partial 16S ribosomal RNA
Rfam family: Bacterial small subunit ribosomal RNA
Source: RNAcentral
AUUGAACGCUGGCGGCAGGCCUAACACAUGCAAGUCGAGCGGAUGAAGGGAGCUUGCUCCUGGAUUCAGCGGCGGACGGGUGAGUAAUGCCUAGGAAUCUGCCUGGUAGUGGGGGAUAACGUCCGGAAACGGGCGCUAAUACCGCAUACGUCCUGAGGGAGAAAGUGGGGGAUCUUCGGACCUCACGCUAUCAGAUGAGCCUAGGUCGGAUUAGCUAGUUGGUGGGGUAAAGGCCUACCAAGGCGACGAUCCGUAACUGGUCUGAGAGGAUGAUCAGGCACACUGGAACUGAGACACGGUCCAGACUCCUACGGGAGGCAGCAGUGGGGAAUAUUGGACCAUGGGCGAAAGCCUGAUCCAGCCAUGCCGCGUGUGUGAAGAAGGUCUUCGGAUUGUAAAGCACUUUAAGUUGGGAGGAAGGGCAGUAAGUUAAUACCUUGCUGUUUUGACGUUACCAACAGAAUAAGCACCGGCUAACUUCGUG